CCUACGGGUGGCAGCAGUGGGGAAUAUUGCACAAUGGGGGAAACCCUGAUGCAGCGACGCCGCGUGAGUGAAGAAGUAAUUCGUUAUGUAAAGCUCUAUCAGCAGGGAAGAAAAUGACGGUACCGGAGGAAGAAGCCCCGGCUAACUACGUGCCAGCAGCCGCGGUAAUACGUAGGGGGCAAGCGUUAUCCGGAUUUACUGGGUGGAAAGGGAGCGUAGACGGUAGGGCAAGUCUGGAGUGAAGGGCGGGGGCUCAACCCCCGGACUGCUCUGGAAACUGUACGGCUGGAGUGCAGGAGAGGUAAGUGGAAUUCCUGGUGUAGCGGUGAAAUGCGUAGAUAUUAGGAGGAACACCAGUGGCGAAGGCGGCUUACUGGACUGUUACUGACGUUGAGGCUCGAAAGCGUGGGGAGCAAACAGGAUUAGAUACCCCUGUAGUC
Molecule: ribosomal RNA, 440 nt
Filed under: uncultured bacterium
Lineage: Bacteria
Description: partial 16S ribosomal RNA
Rfam family: Bacterial small subunit ribosomal RNA
Source: RNAcentral